Non-coding RNA from Peromyscus maniculatus bairdii (prairie deer mouse), 3168 nucleotides. Lineage: Eukaryota; Metazoa; Chordata; Mammalia; Rodentia; Cricetidae. The record is from RefSeq and is a predicted model, not a curated record.
GGGUCGCGGCGGAUGGCGCGAGCGGGGGGCCUCCGCCGAGGCGCCUCCGGUCAGCGAGGCCUCGCCCGGCGGGUCACGGAGACCCAGAGGUCCCGGUUUGCGUCCCUUAGGCGGCUAGGAGCGUGGAUGAUGCGGGGAGGCCAUUGGCUGGGGGGCGGGGAGUUAGGACACUCUCCCUAGCUUGGACCACUUGGGAUUUUUCUGGAUCUUAGGAAGCUCAUUUUUUUUUUUUUUUUAAAUUCCUGAAUCACGCUUCCUUGGCGUGUUGCGAUGAAUAAGUCUCCUUCAUUUUUUUUAUGUGAUUCAUAGCAUGUGUUUUAGGGGAGGAAAGGCGUGUGAUCGGUAGCUCAGCAUUUUCCUUGAAAUAUUCAUCCCAGUCAUUCUGUGGUGUUCAUUGAAAACUGUAAGUUGGUGCGCGCGGUAGGACGAGGCCUCGUAUUGUGGGGAUCCUUCGAGGGCCCUGCCCCAAAACAUCCAUCCUCAUGUGUAUUCACGCAAAUACUUAACCUAGCAGUUCACACGUUUGUGUCUAAAGGGGUGCCUAGCUGAAGGUCCAAGCCAUACACCCUUUGGACAACUGGUAGACAUUUGGAAAAGGGAAUAGGUAAGACCCUUGGCCUUGAGUUAGAAUGAUAAAUGGAAUUCUCAGGAUAGGAAAAAUACAUGGAGGCACGCAACAGCAUUGUUUGAACCCGAACGCCAGUACAGCGAAUCAUAAAAUGCCAAGAAAUCCCGGAGGGUCGCUUGUCAAGUUUUUAGAAGUUAUCAAACCUUUCUGUGCAGUUCUACCAGAAAUUCAGAAGCCUGAAAGGAAAAUUCAGUUUAGAGAGAAGGUACUAUGGACGGCUAUAACACUCUUCAUUUUCUUAGUCUGCUGUCAGAUUCCGCUGUUUGGGAUUAUGUCAUCGGAUUCUGCAGAUCCCUUCUACUGGAUGAGAGUUAUUCUUGCAUCCAACAGAGGAACAUUGAUGGAAUUGGGUAUUUCCCCAAUUGUAACAUCUGGUUUGAUUAUGCAGUUGUUAGCUGGAGCCAAAAUCAUUGAAGUUGGAGAUACACCCAAAGAUAGAGCUCUGUUCAAUGGAGCCCAGAAACUAUUUGGUAUGAUCAUUACCAUUGGGCAAGCCAUUGUGUAUGUCAUGACGGGGAUGUACGGGGACCCUGCGGAAAUGGGUGCUGGCAUCUGUCUCCUUAUCAUCAUACAGUUGUUUGUUGCUGGUUUGAUUGUGCUGCUGUUAGAUGAGCUGCUACAGAAGGGUUACGGCUUGGGGUCUGGUAUUUCCCUCUUUAUUGCCACCAACAUCUGUGAAACCAUUGUCUGGAAGGCCUUUAGUCCCACUACCAUUAACACUGGCAGAGGUACGGAGUUUGAGGGUGCAGUCAUAGCUCUAUUUCAUUUGUUGGCCACCAGGACAGACAAAGUCCGAGCCUUGAGGGAGGCCUUCUAUCGGCAGAACCUCCCCAAUCUCAUGAACCUCAUUGCCACAGUGUUCGUGUUUGCUGUUGUCAUAUAUUUCCAGGGGUUUCGUGUUGACUUGCCCAUUAAGUCGGCCCGGUAUCGAGGACAGUACAGUAGCUAUCCCAUCAAGCUAUUCUACACAUCGAAUAUUCCCAUAAUCCUCCAGUCUGCCCUAGUUUCAAACUUGUAUGUCAUUUCCCAGAUGCUGUCUGUUCGAUUUAGUGGCAACUUCUUAGUAAACUUACUAGGACAGUGGGCCGAUGUCAGUGGGGGAGGACCUGCUCGUUCUUACCCUGUUGGAGGCCUUUGUUACUACCUAUCUCCUCCUGAGUCCAUGGGUGCCAUAUUUGAGGAUCCUGUCCAUGUGGUUGUGUACAUCAUCUUCAUGUUGGGAUCAUGUGCAUUCUUUUCUAAGACAUGGAUAGAAGUGUCUGGUUCCUCAGCCAAAGAUGUGGCUAAGCAGCUUAAAGAGCAGCAGAUGGUGAUGAGAGGCCACAGAGAUACCUCCAUGGUCCACGAGCUGAACAGCAUUGGACUGUACAUGGGAAACUGCUCCUGGAAGGUUCCGAGUCCGCCUUGACCCUGGACCCAGCUGCAGACAUACUGAGCUGGCCGACCUCGUCAUGCUGAGAGUGCUGCUAGUGAACUGCAAGACAACAAUCCCUGAGCUGUUGAAAGCUACAGUAACCAGACAAGAGCGGAGUUCCUCAGAUCAAGGAUGUGCUCCCACAACACUGGCAGAACUCUUGGUGAUGAGCGUUAGGUCCUCCAACUUGCUCUCGUGCAGAAGGGCAGUUCACUCCCUGAUGGAGAAUAACCCUCCUUUUUUAAUUUGGGGGAAGGGGCAAUGAACACUGGCUUACUGAGGAGCCCCUGCUGACCUGCGUCUCGUCUCACAAUCCUGCCUCAGCUCUGGCCGACUAGAAUUACACUGUACGUGGCUGGAGACCAGUCUAAAUCCCUGGCUCCUCUCUGCCUGACUCCAUAAGGAACUCCUGCUUCAUUCAUGUCCAAGACAAUGACACCUGCCAAGCAAUACGAACCUGGAGAACACUCAGCGACAUCACCUUUGUAGCCGGUCUCUUCCUCUAGCUCCCGGAGAGCGGCUGCUUCUGGGCUCUCACCAUCAUCGAUGAGCCCUGGAGGACAGGAGGAAGCCAGAGUUCUCUGAACAGUUUUCUCACAGUGGAAGUCACAGUGACCCUUACAUCCCGAGCAGGCUACGAAAACUACCUCGGCCCAGCAAUGAAGAGCCAGGAGGGAGUGCCCGUACGGCCAUAUGAGGAACAGAUAGACCAAACAGGGAAAGUUAUAACUCAGGUUCAUUUUCCUGAAUGGUAUACAACCAUGUAAAGAACAAGUAAAAUGUAGGUUCAAUUUUUAAAUCACUUUUGGUGUUAUUAACUUAAUGAAAUGGCAAGUGAGAAAGAAAAGAGCUAACUAUAUAUUAGUGUGAACUGGGCUUUCCCACCUCAGUCCUGGGAAUGGGGCACAGAGCUUUGUGCAUGCUGGGUAAACACUGUACCUAAAUCCUACUGGGCUUCAUAAACCUGGCUGUAAAGUAUACCACUUUCCAUAAAUACAUGGGGUUUAUUCAUUCCUUCAUAUGGGUACAGUCCGAUAAAUUGCUAUAAUACUGUGUAUCCAAUUCUGGAUGGCUUCUUUAAUUACAAUGAAUCUAAAAAAUACCUCUGAUAAAAAUCAAGAAUUUU